CUGGCUCAGGAUGAACGCUAGCGACAGGCUUAACACAUGCAAGUCGAGGGGCAGCAUAAAAGUAGCAAUACUUGGUGGCGACCGGCGCACGGGUGAGUAACGCGUAUGCAAACCUACCUAUCAGAGGGGAAUAACCCGGCGAAAGUCGGACUAAUACCGCAUAAAACAGGGGCACCGCAUGGUGAUAUUUGUUAAAGAAAUUCGCUGAUAGAUGGGCAUGCGUUCCAUUAGGUAGUUGGUGAGGUAACGGCUCACCAAGCCAACGAUGGAUAGGGGAACUGAGAGGUUGGUCCCCCACACUGGUACUGAGACACGGACCAGACUCCUACGGGAGGCAGCAGUGAGGAAUAUUGGUCAAUGGGCGGGAGCCUGAACCAGCCAAGUCCGCGUGAAGGAAGAAGGAUCUAUGGUUCGUAAACUUCUUUUGCAGGGGAAUAAAGUGCAGGACGUGUCCCGUUUUGUAUGUACCCUGAGAAUAAGGAUCGGCUAACUCCGUGCCAGCCGCCGC
RNAcentral lists this ribosomal RNA (508 nucleotides) under uncultured bacterium. RNAcentral describes it as "bacterial SSU rRNA". It matches the Rfam family "Bacterial small subunit ribosomal RNA", at positions 19 to 518 of the family's 1533-position model. The record is from RNAcentral.